RNAcentral lists this ribosomal RNA (432 nucleotides) under uncultured bacterium. RNAcentral's name for it is "partial 16S ribosomal RNA". It matches the Rfam family "Bacterial small subunit ribosomal RNA", at positions 29 to 507 of the family's 1533-position model. The record is from RNAcentral.
AACGAACGCUGGCGGCAUGCCUAACACAUGCAAGUCGAACGAGACCUUCGGGUCUAGUGGCGCACGGGUGCGUAACGCGUGGGAACCUGCCCUUAGGUUCGGAAUAACUCCCCGAAAGGGGUGCUAAUACCGGAUAAUGUCUUCGGACCAAAGAUUUAUCGCCUUUGGAUGGGCCCGCGUUGGAUUAGCUAGUUGGUAGGGUAAAAGCCUACCAAGGCGACGAUCCAUAGCUGGUCUGAGAGGAUGAUCAGCCACACUGGGACUGAGACACGGCCCAGACUCCUACGGGAGGAAGCAGGGGGGAAUAUUGACAAUGGGCGAAAGCCUGAUCCAGCAAUGCCGCGUGAGUGAUGAAGGCCUUAGGGUUGUAAAGCUCUUUUACCCGGGAUGAUAAUGACAGUACCGGGAGAAUAAGCUCCGGCUAACUCCGUG